RNAcentral lists this ribosomal RNA (273 nucleotides) under uncultured bacterium. RNAcentral's name for it is "partial 16S ribosomal RNA". It matches the Rfam family "Bacterial small subunit ribosomal RNA", at positions 524 to 796 of the family's 1533-position model. The record is from RNAcentral.
AACGUAGGGGACAAGCGUUAUCCGGAUUUACUGGGCGUAAAGCGCCCGUAGGCAGCUUAGCAAGUUGGACGUGAAAGCUCCUGGCUUAACUGGGAGAGGCCGUACAAAACUGCCAAGCUAGAGGUUGGAAGAGGAGAGCGGAAUUCCCGGUGUAGUGGUGGAAUGCGUAGAUAUCGGGAGGAACACCAGUGGCGAAAGCGGCUCUCUGGUCCAGACCUGACGCUGAGGGGCGAAAGCGUGGGGAGCGAACGGGAUUAGAUACCCCCGUAGUCC